AACCUGAAAAUAUCUCUGACUGUGUGUCACCAGACCACACAAUGAAUACAUCACUUAGGUUAGCAUGAGAAAAAGGGAAAAACAGCUGUGAAGCCCAUGAACUUUCCAAGAAGGUAAAGGAGAAAAAAAAAAAAAAAGAUGGGUUUGAAGUCUAAGUUUUACUAUGAACAGCACCCUGCUGAGAUCAUAAAAAUGAAAAAUACCAUCAAGAUACAUGAAAAAGGAAACACCAAAGGGAAGAGUGAUAACAAGGCUCCACAGAGUGCAGUUUCCUUUGACAAGAUGAAAAAGAAAUGAAAAGAGGAAGGAGAUAAAUGGAACAGCCCUCUACCUAAAGUUUCUGUCCAUGGAGAAACUGACAUUUAAGUGCUGCUCAACAGGAAAAAGAAAAAAGACCUGGUUAUUGAAGUUGGCUUUGUUGGAGAUGCGUUACUCAGAUACAGAUACAAAGAUGGGUUUGGCCAAUGGGCAUCCGUGUCAAGAAGCCUGACCUAACACGUUCUGAAUAUUAAGCUACCUUUUAUCUGCCAGUCCUUGGUGUUCAGAAGAAUCCCUCCUCCUCACCCUAACUUCUAUGGGGCUAUUUACAAAGACACUGUCAUUGAAGUGAGGAAGAGUGAGUUGGGCCUUAUGACACAAAGAGACAAGACUAUUUGAGGACAACAGACACAGGUUUUCAUAUACAUUCCAUGUUAUUCUGAAUUACUGAUGGGUUCACUG
This 720-nucleotide long non-coding RNA is filed under the name Homo sapiens (human). RNAcentral's name for it is "non-protein coding lnc-FAM240B-9:1". The record is from RNAcentral. Lineage: Eukaryota; Metazoa; Chordata; Mammalia; Primates; Hominidae.